GCCUGGGCAAGAAACAGGACCACCAGUCUUCCCAGGAGAAAUGGGCAGGCUCCUGGGGGGUUUGCUGUUGCUUUUCUGUCUUCAGCCACACUGGGUGAAUAGUCAACAGCAGAAUAAUGAGCAGCAACAGGUGAAGCAGAAUUCUCCAUCCCUGAGUGUGCAGGAAGGAGGAACUUCUAUUCUGAACUGUGACUACAGUAAUAAUUUGUUUACUUACUUUGCAUGGUACAAAAAAUACCCAGCUAAAGGUCCUACAUUCCUGAUAUCAGUAAGUUCAGUUGCGAAUAAAAAGGAAGAUGGAAGAUUCACA
Long non-coding RNA from Phyllostomus discolor (pale spear-nosed bat), 310 nucleotides. RefSeq lists it as uncharacterized. The record is from RefSeq and is a predicted model, not a curated record. The transcript is spliced from 2 exons. NCBI's taxonomy places the organism in Eukaryota, Metazoa, Chordata, Mammalia, Chiroptera, Phyllostomidae.